AAUUUUCAAAAACAUUGUUACCAAACAACAAUUUAUUUAUUUUUAUUAAACCGGCAUCCAUAAUUUUAAUGUGAUCCAGUUUAAUCUGACCUUUAAGGUCACUAUUUGAAGUGUAAUAUCUAUUUGAUGAUCAUGAGGAAUUCACUGUUGAUUUAUCAUUUCUCUGUUAGAUAUGAUUGAAACUUUAAUUUAUGACAACGAUGUGAGUUGGGUAAUGGAAAUUUCAUCAACAUAUGAUGGUUAAAUUUUCACCAUAUAGAUGCUGACGUUGCUUAUCUGUUAAUAAUUUAUCAUUACCAUUAUCAUUAGUAGUCAUUGUUAUUGUUUGUUUUUUUACAUUUUCUUCUCAUUUAUUCACUGUUCGUUGAAAGGUGAUCAGCUACUGGGAGAAACUAGAUUAUUGAUUUUAUUAGUGACUGGCAGUUCAUUUAACCCAUUCAAUUGUUACUUAAAACCUGUACCUAAUUGUUUCACCAAAAAAUGAUGUUAAAACAAAACAUUGACCUUUGGUUGGCCAAACUGCAUCAAUAUGUUUUAAAAGAUGGAAACGAGCACGUGGUUGAAGCCAUUGGUGUGAUUAACAAGUGUCUUGAUGAAAUUAACAAUGAUCACAAUAAAAUCGCCAUUAGUUUUAACGGAGGUAAAGAUUGCACCGUUCUACUUCACCUUGUUUACCUGGUUACUCUUGAUAAAUUUGAACGAGGAAAUCUAAACCACGGAGAUUUGGCCCCUAAAUUAAUGACUUUGCUAAUUUUAAUGCCUGAUACUUUCCCUGAAUUGGAGGAUUUCAUUCAAAGCUCUGUUACAAGAUACAAUUUGGAUCUAAAAUCUGUUAAUGGACCUAAUUUCAAGGAAGCUUUGAAAAAUUUCAAAAAUGAAACAACAGUUAGUCAUAUUUUUAUGGGAACCAGAAGUACUGAUCUAGUCAAGCCAAUCUCAUUUUUUGAGCCUACUGACCCGGGUUGGCCUGAAUUUAUUAGAGUUAAUCCCUUGCUUAAUUGGUCUUAUCAUCAAAUUUGGAGUUUUCUACGUGAUCUUGAAGUGCCCUACUGUUCAUUAUAUGAUAAAGGAUAUACAUCUAUAGGUACAGCUAAGAAUACAUUUGUCAAUCCAAAGCUCAAAGAUCCAUCAGGAAAUGGGUAUUUUCCAGCUUACAUGUUGAGUGACCCUCAGGAUGAAAGACAAGGGCGAUCCACAUACUAACGCAAGACCAAUCUUAAUGAAUUAGUUUAAUUAAUCGUAUUUAUUACAUGGUCAUUAUUUUGUAUUUUCACACAUGUUUUAUUGACAUUAACUAGAGGUUUAACAAACUUAAAAAUAACUUUUACCAGUGUAAUAAAAAUAAUUUUCCCUGUCAUUCCAAUUCAGAUGAUUGUCUCUCCAAUGUUCUUAGGAUCGGUAUCAAAACUAUGCAAAUGGAAGGACAAGGAUUCAUAAAGCUCAGAGGCUGAAGGACGUUUGGAGGAAUCAGGAUUGGUACAUUUACGCACAACAUCUCGGAGUAAUUCAAUUAUUGCUUGAUCUUCAGGAGUCCUUCCAUAGUUUUGCUUAACCACUUCUUUUUUCAUCAUCAUAUCUAUUUCAAAGCACAAUUGAGGAGAAAUAAUUUUUUACUUCAGUUUAUUCAAUCAACACUCAUAAGUAAACAGAAUGAUUGAGUUAAUCACUGGUGGCUUGGUAACAGAUUAACCUUUGACAGAAGAAGGUUGAAAUAAUUGAUGAAUGGUGAGAUAAUUAGAUGUUCAAGUUUUACAAGACUAUUACACUUACCAGAAUUAAAUUUCCGAGGUAACUGUUUUCUUUAUCAAUUUUCUCACACUUUGAUUGCUAUCCUUAAUGAUCUUAGGAAUGAUACUUGUGUAUUAAUUAUUUUAUAUAAAUGAAAACAAUAACUACUGUACUCAAAGACUGACUUCAAUCGGUGAUUGAGAAACACAAGUUGUAAAAUGAUUGUGAUCUUGAUGAGCUACCAUUGAUAGGAGACAAGUAAUUAUCAUAAUACCAAGAUGACACCAAUUUAUUUACGCAGCAAUAAAUACUUAUUAUUCU
Molecule: RNA transcript, 2049 nt
Organism: Tetranychus urticae (two-spotted spider mite)
Lineage: Eukaryota; Metazoa; Arthropoda; Arachnida; Trombidiformes; Tetranychidae
Gene name: bifunctional FAD diphosphatase/FAD synthase
Source: RefSeq, a predicted model, not a curated record